GGGCACGCGCCGCGAUGGCCUCGGCGGAGCGGGGCUGAGCCCGCCGCCUGCCCGCCCGCGGACCCGCAGCCCCGCAGCCCCCGGCCGCCUCCGGCCCAACCAUGGCGAAGCAGUACGAUGUGCUGUUCCGGCUGCUGCUGAUCGGGGACUCCGGGGUGGGCAAGACCUGCUUGCUUUGCCGCUUCACCGACAACGAGUUCCACUCCUCGCACAUCUCCACCAUCGGUGUUGACUUUAAGAUGAAGACUAUAGAGGUAGAUGGCAUCAAAGUGCGGAUACAGAUCUGGGAAUAUUUUUAGUCUACGACAUUAGCAGUGAGCGCUCCUACCAGCACAUCAUGAAGUGGGUCAGUGAUGUGGAUGAGUAUGCACCAGAAGGUGUUCAGAAGAUCCUUAUAGGAAAUAAGGCCGAUGAGGAGCAGAAACGCCAGGUGGGAAGAGAGCAGGGGCAGCAGGAAUGUUCUUCUCUUGCAGCUGGCUAGAGAGUAUGGCAUGGACUUCUAUGAAACAAGUGCCUGCACCAACCUCAACAUUAAAGAGUCCUUCACGCGCCUGACGGAGCUGGUGCUGCAGGCCCACAGGAAAGAGCUGGAAGGUCUGCGGACGCACGCCAGCCAUGAGUUGGCCUUGGCGGAGCUGGAGGAGGAGGAGGGCAAACCCGAGGGUCCGGUGAACUCUUCGAAAACCUGCUGGUGCUGAGGGUCCCACGUGGAGCACCCGCACAAUCCCCUCUCCCCGCAGGAGGCCUGCGGGCAUACAGGGAGCCUGGGCCUCGCCCUGCUUCUCCUCUCCUUUGGGUGGCCUGUGGCAUCUCAGCCGCUGCUUCUCCCCCUGCCUGGCACCAAGAGCAGCUCCGCUGUCUUGUCUGAACAGCCUUGCCUCCGGCCCUCCACCGGGGUGUCCCCUCCAGCCUGUUUCCCCAGCCACAGGUCUGCUACUGGUCCCGACGUGCCAUGAGCACUGCCUCACUGCCCCAGCUCCCAGGCAAUGGCCGAGUCUGGAGUCAAGGCCUCUGUAAGGCUCCAUCUCUUUCAGUGCAUCUGGUGUCCUCUGCUUUUUCUCGCUUCUUCCCACUUCUCUCUCUCUGUACCCCCGCCUCCUGCUGUGUUCAUAUCAACCUUUCCCACCCCCCGCGCCAUGCCAUGUGGCUGCUAGUGUGGCCCUUCUCCCCACCCCCCCAGCCUUGGCCUAUCCCAGGGAAUGGACUCAGGCUCAGGGGCGAGUUUCCUGCUCUGCUCCAGGGAGAACCUGUGCCCUGCUUGGUGGGCACUUCUUCCUGUCCUCCCCGCCCCACCGCCCUGUCUUGUGCCAUGGGCCUGCCUCCCCAGGCACCGGGGAAAGAGGAAUGUCAAGGGAGGAAGGAAAGCUCAAACUGGUGGUCCCCACGCCUGGGGCUUUCCUGCCUCCUGCCCCCAGCGUCAGCCUUGCUUGGCUGCCUGCCAGCUGCCAUUGGGGAAACUGAGCUUGAGGCAGGUGCUUCUGAGAAGAAAAAAAAUGAUGAGGGGUGGCAGGGACAAAAAGUCACCUCCAUUCUCUACCUCCCAGGCAGCAUGUAUACCAUUUCUACUCCCCUGGGCUCCUGAAUUGAAAGAUGCGGACCAAGCCUGGAGGGCACUGUGGGGGCAAGGAAAGCCUCGGGGCCAACAACAAGCUCCAGAAAGGGGACUGUUUGGUAGUGAAGGACCAGCUCCUAUCUAUCAGGUUAAGAGCCAGGGAGAGCAGGCAGGGUAGCAGUUUGCACACGAGAGGGGAAUUCAGCAACAGGAGGGAUUCCUGGGCCUCCUCUUCCAUUUCUUGUGUGAGAAAGGUGUUUCCCCACCACCCCUGGCAGUGAGAGGUGACAGAACCACCCUGGGGGGCUUUCUCUGAGCCCAGCCUGGGGCUCUCGAGGUUUUCCUGAGAACCAAAGUUUGCGGGACAAGGGCAGGGAGCUCAUGGGAAGAAAGCAAGCGAGCCCUGGGUAGGGAUGCUUGGUGCUGUUCCCUUCAGCCUUCAAGGCAAGUGCCCAUCUUGCCCCUCUGGCUCCUGAGUCAGAGGCUUGAGGUUUGCCAGCUGCACUGUGGCUUCAGGUGGAAGGAAGCAGACUUGCUCCUCCAGGGCCCUUUGUUCAGGAAGAUGUUUCUUUAACCCCAUAUGGUCCAAGAGUAGCUUAAGGAGGCCCUUUAAGGAGGGAAUGAGUCAGUUACCAGCUCUAGGGAGGAGGGUCAGUCUUAAGUGUGUUGCAUGGCUGGAGCUGGAGCUAAAACACAGAACUGAGCAUCCAACACUCAUUGAUUAAGGACCAAAAUCCAGGAUACACACACGUAAAGGAUCAAGAGUCCCACUUCCUUAUUCUGCCGAAGAAAAAAGGUGAGGGAUGAACUCACCGAACCUUUCCUCCUGGUUCUUACCAGAUCAGGAGAGGGUAGCUCAGGGUGUAGGAACGGAGACGGGUCGGCAUGGUGAAAGGAAGAGGAGGGCAGGAAUAGUUAUAAAUCAUCGACUAAUGAGACAUGUAGAGCUGCCUCUUUAGAAUGAAGUCACAACCAUAGCUUAGGAGGCUUCCUUGACAACUGACUCCUCAGGCGUCAAGACAUAUGCAGUCGCACAGAGGGGGGGUGGGGAGGUCAGCAGUGCCAACCCUCGGCGUGCCCUCAGCCAGGGCCUCGAGGAAGGGAAGUUAUCCUGGCCAUCAGCUCCACCUGUGGAUCAGAAUCUCCACUUCCCUCAAGAUCAGGCUGAGCACCAUUGCCUUUCUCUCCCAGCCCCCUCAGGAAAGAGGGGCUGUAUUUUUACUGUAUUCUUGGGUUUUGGAAGGGAAAACUUGAGGCUGGGAUCCUACGGCCUGGUAAGCCCCAUCCACAAGGGCCACAGUCAGGGAGAGGUUGAGGGCAGGAGGGUUGGGAUUUUAGGGUGCAGCUAUGCUCACCAGGUACCAGAGUCAGCUUCUCACCCCUAAACUCCAGUGCAGGAGGUGGCCUGGGACCUGGCCUUUGGCCCAGACUGUUGAGCAGGCACACCUGCCUGUUGGCUCCUCACCACCUGUGCACCUGUUGCCUCGAGACUCAGCCCCAGGCACUCCACCUGCUCUAGAGCCCCACCAUCUCCCUGUGAUGGGUGAACUUGUGUGCUGUGUCUCGGGUCCAGUAUAUAAAUUGUGAGCAGGGUUCAUCUAUUUUAAACACAGAUGUUUACAAAAUAAAGAAUAUUUCAAAUC
This 3195-nucleotide long non-coding RNA is filed under the name Sus scrofa (pig). Its description in RNAcentral is "lncRNA (ENSSSCG00050061405.1)". Lineage: Eukaryota; Metazoa; Chordata; Mammalia; Artiodactyla; Suidae. The record is from RNAcentral.